GUAGGUGGCAAGCGUUGUCCGGAAUUAUUGGGCGUAAAGCGCGCGCAGGCGGUUCUUUAAGUCUGAUGUGAAAGCCAACGGCUCAACCGUGGAGGGUCAUUGGAAACUGGAGAACUUGAGUACAGAAGAGGAAAGCGGAAUUCCACGUGUAGCGGUGAAAUGCGUAGAGAUGUGGAGGAACACCAGUGGCGAAGGCGGCUUUCUGGUCUGUAACUGACGCUGAGGCGCGAAAGCGUGGGGAGCAAACAGGGAUUAGAUACCCUGGUAGUCCACGCCGUAAACGAUGAGUGCUAAGUGUUAGGGGGUUUCCGCCCCCUUAGUGCUGCAGCUAACGCAUUAAGCACUCCGCCUGGGGAGUACGGCCGCAAGGCUG
RNAcentral lists this ribosomal RNA (373 nucleotides) under uncultured organism. RNAcentral describes it as "partial 16S ribosomal RNA". It matches the Rfam family "Bacterial small subunit ribosomal RNA", at positions 527 to 896 of the family's 1533-position model. The record is from RNAcentral.